UGAGUCAUCAGGUGACCCGAAUAAUCCCUCAAGAAAUUGGCGAUUUGUGCUUCUGGAGUUGUUGGGUUCUCAUUACGGCCGCGAUUUGUAUGGAGCAGGACAUGAUCUCUGGAGGCAAUGGUGGCGUUCCGAUAAAUUUGACCAUACGGAAAACGACCCCCUUUGUUGAAGACGAAUAUAUAUCUGGCGCUGAUGUUGCAGUAGUUGGUGGGUUGACUAGACUCUAGAGUUCUGCGGCAUAAUGACUGCGAUGCAAGAAGCGCCACUCCCAUAUAUCGUGCACAAAUUACAUACUUGUUUGUGUACUCUGUCUGAAUGGAAAACUUAUUUCCCAUUUUCCAUUGACAAUUUUGUGAUAUAUUAGUUCUGUAGAGGUGACGCUGUAGAUCAUAAAUCGUGGUUGUGGUAGGAGCUCUAGUGUUCUAUGAAUGACUUUUAAAAAAAAAAAAUUGUUCUUUCCUUUGAAAUGAAUGGGACCAAAUUUAAAAGAAA
Molecule: long non-coding RNA, 492 nt
Organism: Prosopis cineraria
Lineage: Eukaryota; Viridiplantae; Streptophyta; Magnoliopsida; Fabales; Fabaceae
Exons: 2
Source: RefSeq, a predicted model, not a curated record